UACAGAGGGGGCAAGCGUUGUUCGGAAUUACUGGGCGUAAAGGGCUCGUAGGCGGCCAACUAAGUCAGACGUGAAAUCCCUCGGCUUAACCGGGGAACUGCGUCUGAUACUGGAUGGCUUGAGUUCGGGAGAGGGAUGCGGAAUUCCAGGUGUAGCGGUGAAAUGCGUAGAUAUCUGGAGGAACACCGGUGGCGAAGGCGGCAUCCUGGACCGAGACUGACGCUGAGGCGCGAAAGCGUGGGGAGCAAACAGG
This 253-nucleotide ribosomal RNA is filed under the name uncultured bacterium. Its description in RNAcentral is "partial 16S ribosomal RNA". It matches the Rfam family "Bacterial small subunit ribosomal RNA", at positions 524 to 776 of the family's 1533-position model. The record is from RNAcentral.